Canis lupus familiaris (dog) is the source of this 1160-nucleotide long non-coding RNA. RefSeq lists it as uncharacterized. Lineage: Eukaryota; Metazoa; Chordata; Mammalia; Carnivora; Canidae. The transcript is spliced from 2 exons. The record is from RefSeq and is a predicted model, not a curated record.
AGUGAGCAGGCUCACCUAGGCCAGGGUGCAGAGGUGUCCGGGCCCUGACAUUCCCCCAAGGAGGGCUGGAGGCCGCCGGGCUCGGGGAGAGGGCCCAGGAGCCCCAGCAGCCCUCUCCGGGGGCUGGGAGCUCGCUCGGGCAGGCGCACGGGCCUGGGGGACAGAAAGGGGGAGCGUGGCUUGAGUCCCUCGGCCCGUCCCAGGCCCGGCAGCGGGGAGCCCGGCAGCGGGGAGCCGGCGGCAGGGCGGGAGGCCCAGCGCCCGGGGCGGCCUGUCCCCUCGCGCCGCUCUGCUCGCCUCCGGCCGAGGAAUUUUACUUUAUUCGCGCUCCCCCGCCCGCCCCAGCCCGCGGGUCCUCAAGGCCAGGCCGCCGGGUCCCCUUUGAAUCUGUGCCCGGCUCCGGCUCGGGCUCCGAGGUGACCCGGGGAAGUGUACUCCUCCGGCCCUUGCAGCCCAGACGGGCACCGGCUGUUGAAAAAGAACCAAAACCUCUGAAAAGGUUCUGUGUUUUCUCUGUUCCCGCUGCAGGACGUGGCCCAGCACCCGGGGCAGAGGCUGAGGGCAGGGCAGGCUGGCGGCAGGCCGGGCCCAGGCUCCAGAGGGCGCGACGGACAGUCAGUCGUUGAGGGCGCUCAGCUGGGCCGCUCCAGUCCUCUCCGAGCCGCCCUCGAGGAAAUCCUAACCAGCUCUCACAAACAUGUCAAGCCCAAAGCUGCUGUGUGUGUUUGAGCGGAGCUUCAGACAGCUACUUAACACCGGGGCCUCCGGGCCUUUGAUUCCUGCGCCCCUCGCCUUGCCCUCUCCCCCCGUCUGGCUGGUGUUUAUCGGCCAAGACGAUGUUUAAAUCACACUCGUUUCCUAUAAACAUUUCACUUGAAAUGCCAUCCGCUGCCCCAGAAAUUCAUCUAUCACCAGCUCGGGGUGUACUUGAGGAGCCUCCGGGCGAUGCUCCCCGUCUCUGUCCCCUGCCCCCCACCCCGCCUCCCCGACCCAUAUUCUCAGGUUUCACGCUGUAAGAACAACUUCCCCUCGGUGUAACAGGGCACUUAGUGCCAGGAUUAUUUAUAAGGCCGAGAUGGCAACGGGCGGUGGGGAGCAGCCCGGCCCGUGGACACUUCCUCUUGCAAAGCUCAAUAAACGGCCUGGAACGCUGUGUGCCA